UAGGGAAUAUUAGUAAUGGGCGAAAGCCUGAACUAGCAACGCCGCGUGUGCGAAGAAGGCCUUCGGGUUGUAAAGCACUUUUUGAGAGGAUGAGGAAGGACGGUACUCUCAGAAUAAGUCUCGGCUAACUACGUGCCAGCAGCCGCGGUAACACGUAGGAGGCGAACGUUAUCCGGAUUUACUGGGCGUAAAGCGCGUGUAGAUGGUUUGGUAAGUAGGGCGUGAGAGCUCCUGGCGCAACUGGGAGAGGCCGUUCUAAACUGACGAACUAGAGGAUGGUAGAGGGAGGUGG
This 292-nucleotide ribosomal RNA is filed under the name uncultured bacterium. RNAcentral's name for it is "partial 16S ribosomal RNA". It matches the Rfam family "Bacterial small subunit ribosomal RNA", at positions 355 to 664 of the family's 1533-position model. The record is from RNAcentral.